Bombyx mori (domestic silkworm) is the source of this 3895-nucleotide long non-coding RNA. RefSeq lists it as uncharacterized. The record is from RefSeq and is a predicted model, not a curated record. NCBI's taxonomy places the organism in Eukaryota, Metazoa, Arthropoda, Insecta, Lepidoptera, Bombycidae. The transcript is spliced from 2 exons.
UACAGAUUUCGAUGAAUACAGGUCACAAUUCGAACGCGUAUAGUUCACAAGAAAAUAUUUGGCAGACACCGUGGCUCUCGGGAGUCACGCUCUUUAGGAGGGUGAGCUCGUAGUAAAAUAAUUUAUGUAUUCCAACGGUUCUAUAAAAUGAUCGUUCGUGCUUUAAACAUUUUUAUAGAGAAGAAAUCAAACCCGCAAAAUUAUAAUUUGCGUAAUUACUGGUAGUAGAACAUCUUGUGAGUUCGCACGGGUGGGUACCACCGCCCUGUCUAUUUCUGCCGUGAAGCAGUAAUGCGCUUCAACUUGAAGGGUGGGGCAGCCGUUGUAACUAUACUGAGACCUUAGAACUUAUAUCUCAAGGUGGGUGGCGCAUUUACGCUGUAGAUGUCUAUGUACUCCAAUAACCACUUAACACCAGGUGGGCUGUGAGCUCGUCCACCUAUCUAAGCAAUAAAUAAAAAAGAUAUUUUUCAGCAAUAACUACUGUUCAUCUCUUUUAGUUAAUCGUGUUUUAAAAGACGUAAUUAAAAUGUCACUGUGAUCUUCCUGUAUUAUAGGCAGUUCAAGAUCUAAAUUACUUCUAAAAAACUGUCUGACGCUAAACCGUUAGAAAAUUUAACCUGUUUUUGCGGUGAAAAAGUUAAAUGCCACUUAGUUUAAGACAACGUGAUACAUAACAUGUCUACUAUGGCCGCAAAUACAAAACUUUUAUCACUUAAGAUAAUGUUGUUCACUAUCUAUGUUUGUAUUACAGCGUCACGUAUGUGUGAGUGAGUUUAAAGAAAUGACGGUUUAAUUAUUACAUUAGUGGAUUAGGCGACAGAAAAAAAGUUCAUUAUGUUUGCUUUACAAAAUACGAAUAUAAACGAACAAGACAAAAUUAAAUCAUUUAGAAUCGUCAGUUAAAAAUCAUAAGUAAUCAAUAAAUAAAACUUCCUCGGAGUAUGAAUCCAAUGGCAUACUUUGUAGCAAAAAAGAAAUUAAAGACUUAAAUUGCCAAUUUAAAUAAACGGUUUUCACACUCCACUGGCAAUUUCACUUAAAAUUCAUUUCCUAGUUAUGUUUGCAAAGACGAACUAUGAUACUUGAGUUUGAAUUUCAGGUCUCAUAUCCCAAUGCUAAAUAGUGAAAAUUUUUAUUAUAUUUGUUUUUAUUUCAUAAAUAGCGCAUAGAGCAUAGAGCUCACGGCUUACCUGGUGGUUACCAGACCCUUAAAUAUCGCACCAUGCAUGGCGCCAUCCAUCUUAAGAUUUGUGGUUAAAGUCUCAAUUCGUCUUCUCGCAUUAAAACUGUAUAAUCUAAAAACUUACUCAUUUUACAGGAGAGUGUUUUAAAAAUGUUAGUUAAAUAAAUGUUAAAAGCUUAAACAUUUAUUUUUUAUUUUGGAACGAAGUUCCUUAUUUUACUUAUUACGUUAUCUGUCUUUUAAAGUAAGAUAAAAUUAUGUAUUAAUUUUGUAAUAGUAGUCAAAACAUAGGUACCUAAACUAAAAAGAAAAAAAAACUAAAACUAAACUACGCUCUUUUGACAGUAUUUAUGAGAAAAAUACUGGUGAUACCAAAUGAUUCCGUAUAACUCAAUUUCGAAUAUUUUUGGAAAUUGUACACUUUUAAUGUGAAAAGACGAAUUGUGUUGCAUGCAUUACGGCCGUCGCACUCUUCAAGCCGUAACGAACAAUUGAUACGUAAAACGAUUUCCCCGGAUUUUAAUUUUAGUUAUAUUUUAUUCAGAGAUUUGAGAUGUCCAAGACGUAUGUCAUAAAAAUCAUGUAAAUAACAUAGAAGCCAGCACACGUAUAUAAUAAAUCACAAUGUUUAAAAUGAAGAGCGGUGAGGGUGAACGAGGUACUGGCGUCACAGCGCUCAGCGUCAGACGACGAGUGACGUGGUCACAGAUAGAGUUUUUCUUGCCAAGUGACUCAGACUUUAUAUAAAACGGAGCAGAAAUCUAAAGCAUUGUACACUUCACAUCAAACCGCCGAGUCGAAUUGACCGAUUGUUUAAAUAAUAAUCUUAAUGUUUGUAAACGGUGAAGAACAAAUCACACAACGAUUAAAACACAUACAUUUGGAUACAAACAGCAGUAUGCAGCCAAAAGCCGAGGUUCCUCCCAUGUGUCCAAAAAGCAAGCUUCCGUUGUUGCACCUCACUCCUUCAGGUGGUCAGAAGAAAAUCGAGGGCGCAACACCUCAAAGCAAGUCUAAUCCUUGGCUACUGAAGCCUCCGCUGGACAUCCCUCCCACGCCGCCUCCACAAUCGAAAGUUCAACACCACGAGUUCUUUCCGUAAGGAAUAGGGUAUUUUUCUACUCGAGACGUUAGAAUAAAAGUAUUGUUAUAAAUGGCAGCAUGCCAUUUUGUCAGAACACGGGCUUUUUGGAGUCGUACAAAAAUAUGCCACGAUGUAUACAUAACUAUGUACGUAUAUCGUUGAAGACGAAUCGAGAGAAAACUUCGGCGUCACUCGAUUUGCGUCAGUUUUCGGUAAAUUGUGGUAUGGUGAUAAGUUUUAUUAAAGAUUGCUGUAACUAUCGUAAUGUGAACUUAUCGAUGACGAUAGUAAUCGAUAAGAGAAUAUGUGAUUAGAUAUACAGUGUGUUAUUGUCUGUAAUUGGAGCAGCUGUAUUGUUUAUUGUUAAUGUAGUACAUAAUAUCUAUUUUUUAAGUGAUAGUAAGAACUUUUUCAUCUUGUCUAAAUAGAUCUCUGUUGUAUUUAAUGUUUGUGACUGAAACAGUUCUUCCGAUGUAAAUAUCGUGUUUUACUUCGCAAUUAAAUAUAUUAUACAAAAAAAUAUAUAUAUUUAAUUUCAAUUUAGUUCCAUCCAAAAUAUAUCGUUAUUUUCGCCUCCAAAAAUAAGAAUAACAACAUUUGAAUAAGUCAUAAUUUCGGUUUCCGUGACAACGACAUUCAAAUAACAUUAGCACGCAAACAAAUAUGCGACGUACAUCGUCGUACAAUUAGAAGAAAGCAUGUAAUGUAACUCAAUUUAUUACAAAAAUAAAUAUGGGUCAAUGACUUUAACACGAAUAUAAUUUAAAGGUUAAUUAUGACGAUAAAAACAUUAAAUCCUAAUUUAUUAUAUUAGAUUAGUUUGAUAAAAAAUUAAAAUAAUUUAACAUGUGGACAUAAUCAAGAAAAUACAGGAAAAUAAAGGAACAGUCUUAGAUUAAUUAACACAUUUUAGUAAUGCUGACUACAAUUACUUCACAAUGCCAAUCUCGUCAAGCGAUAGACAAAGGCCUUCCGUUCCACGCUACGAUUCUAUUCAUUUAUUCGGAUGUGACGUACUUUUUCCAUUACGUUCCCUACGUGAAAGAACGAAUCGAUUUUUUUUUGAUAGAAAAAAUACAUAUUUCAUUGUCCAUCUUAUGGUAGUGUAGGGGAAUGAUACUCUGCCCCGCUUAGCUUACUAUGCAGUUAUUGUGCAUAUAGUAAUGAGCAGCAUACGUUAGUCAGUCAGCGGUCAACGUGCAGCGAUCCACCGCGGUCGCUGAGGCAAGUAAACAUGUAAUUAUAAGUAAUGUUUUAUUGACCGCUCCCUCGAGGUUUAAGGAGGAGAGCGCACCCGCCUCCCUCCUCUGUCUUCUCCCAAUAAACCUCACAGUAGCUUUUGCCUAAUUAUAAGUAAAACUACAUAGUAUUAACACAUUAAAUGUCUUAACAAAGGCAUGAUCCCACGGGUCUUUCUCUUCCAAAUAAUAUUGCGACCUUAAUUGCCAUACUUUUAUUUUUUUAACGAAUACAUACACGUCAUGUUAUGUUGCCUAGUUUUCAUUGAGAGCAAAUCUACUUUUAACUAAAUUUUGUAUUUUUUUCUCGAUGAUGACUAAAGUAUGUUUGUAGGCUAGGUCUAAAAUAUAUUUUUAAAGAAUCAAAAUAAAUGAGAUAAUAAUAAA